This 21-nucleotide microRNA is filed under the name Sus scrofa (pig). Its description in RNAcentral is "ssc-miR-9823-5p". Lineage: Eukaryota; Metazoa; Chordata; Mammalia; Artiodactyla; Suidae. The record is from miRBase by way of RNAcentral.
GCUACCAGAACGUCGGGCAUC